AAGGUAAAGUUCUGCCCUUGUGGAAGAAGUGAAACAAAAAAUGGCAGAAACAGUAAAAGACAUCAAAAUUGACGUGUUCCAAAACUGUUUUGCAUUAAAUAGAUAGU
Molecule: long non-coding RNA, 107 nt
Organism: Phyllostomus discolor (pale spear-nosed bat)
Lineage: Eukaryota; Metazoa; Chordata; Mammalia; Chiroptera; Phyllostomidae
Exons: 3
Source: RefSeq, a predicted model, not a curated record